CAAGACAGUCAUGCAGAGGACCUGAGG
This 27-nucleotide non-coding RNA is filed under the name Mus musculus (house mouse). The record is from RNAcentral. Lineage: Eukaryota; Metazoa; Chordata; Mammalia; Rodentia; Muridae.